UACAGAGGUCCCAAGCGUUGUUCGGAUUCAUUGGGCGUAAAGGGUGCGUAGGUGGCGCGCUAAGUCGGGUGUGAAAUUUCGGAGCUUAACUCCGAAACUGCAUUCGAUACUGGUGUGCUUGAGGACUGGAGAGGAGACUGGAAUUCAUGGUGUAGCAGUGAAAUGCGUAGAGAUCAUGAGGAAUACCAGAGGCGAAGGCGGCUACCUGGACAAUUGCUGACGCUCAGGCACGAAAGCGUGGGGAGCAAAAGGG
Molecule: ribosomal RNA, 253 nt
Filed under: uncultured bacterium
Lineage: Bacteria
Description: partial 16S ribosomal RNA
Rfam family: Bacterial small subunit ribosomal RNA
Source: RNAcentral